This 28-nucleotide non-coding RNA is filed under the name Rattus norvegicus (Norway rat). The record is from RNAcentral. Lineage: Eukaryota; Metazoa; Chordata; Mammalia; Rodentia; Muridae.
UCACAUGGUACGUGUACACACAAACAUC